Molecule: long non-coding RNA, 240 nt
Filed under: Hordeum vulgare
Lineage: Eukaryota; Viridiplantae; Streptophyta; Magnoliopsida; Poales; Poaceae
Description: long non-coding RNA (HVUL_LNC018366)
Source: RNAcentral
AGGGCUAUUGGUAUCUUCCAUGCUAGGAGUGUUAUCCUCGACAUGUGUUUAUUAACAGUCAUUCACGAGAAAGGGCCCGGUAUUUGGAGUGCCCAAUUCCACGCUUAAAUCGAAAACAUAACUAUAAAACAAGACUCCCCAGUAUGGACGGUACCCGAGGAUUCGUCUAGCCGUGGAGUGUGAUUGAUUGGUGGUGGGGGAGUUAAAACUUUACUUUUCUGUUUGGGAACCGCCUAUAGC